CCUACGGGAGGCAGCAGUGAGGAAUAUUGGUCAAUGGGCGAGAGUCUGAACCAGCGAAGUAGCGUGAAGGAUGACUGCCCUAUGGGUUGUAAGCUUCUUUUAUAUGGGAAUAAAAUGUUCCACGUGUGGGAUUUUGUAUGUACCAUAUGAAUAAGGAUCGGCUAACUCCUUGCAAGCAGCCGCGGUAAUGCGGAGGAUCCGAGCGUUAUCCGGAUUUAUUGGGUUUAAGGGGAGCGUAGGUUGAUUGUUAAGUCAGUUGUGAAAGUUUGCGGCUUAACCGUAAAAUUGCAGUUGAUACUGGCAGGCUUGAGUACAGUAGAGGUGGGCGGAAUUCGUGGUGUAGCGGUGAAAUGCUUAGAUAUAACGAAGAACUCCGAUUGCGAAGGCAGCUCACUGGACUGCAACUGACACUGAGGCUCGAAAGUGUGGGUAUCAAACAGGAUUAGAUACCCCUGUAGUC
This 460-nucleotide ribosomal RNA is filed under the name uncultured bacterium. Its description in RNAcentral is "partial 16S ribosomal RNA". It matches the Rfam family "Bacterial small subunit ribosomal RNA", at positions 338 to 795 of the family's 1533-position model. The record is from RNAcentral.